UACGUAGGAGACGAGCGUUGUCCGGAUUUACUGGGCGUAAAGGGUGCGCAGGCGGCCUUGCGCGUCGCGAGUGAAAUCUCCCGGCUCAACUGGGAGGGUGGUCGCGAGACGGCAGGGCUUGAGGCUCGGUGAGGGGCGUGGAAUUCCGGGUGGAGCGGUGAAAUGCGUAGAUAUCGUUUGGAACGCCGAUGGUGAAAACAGGUUGCUGGGGCUGUGCUGACGCUGAGACACGAAAGCCAGGGGAGCGAACGGG
Molecule: ribosomal RNA, 253 nt
Filed under: uncultured bacterium
Lineage: Bacteria
Description: partial 16S ribosomal RNA
Rfam family: Bacterial small subunit ribosomal RNA
Source: RNAcentral